GACAGAGGUGGCAAGCGUUGUUCGGAUUCAUUGGGUGUAAAGGGUCCGUAGGUGGUCUAGCAAGUCUGAUGUGAAAUCCCAUGGCUCAACCGUGGAACUGCAUUGGAAACUGUUGGACUUGAGUACCGCAGAGGUAAAGGGAAUUCCCGGUGUAAGGGUGAAAUCUGUAGAUAUCGGGGGGAACACCAGUGGCGAAGGCGCUUUACUGGGCGGUUACUGACACUGAGGGACGAAAGCAAGGGGAGCAAACAGG
Molecule: ribosomal RNA, 253 nt
Filed under: uncultured bacterium
Lineage: Bacteria
Description: partial 16S ribosomal RNA
Rfam family: Bacterial small subunit ribosomal RNA
Source: RNAcentral